CCUACGGGUGGCAGCAGUGGGGAAUAUUGCACAAUGGGGGAAACCCUGAUGCAGCAACGCCGCGUGAGUGAAGAAGUAUUUCGGUAUGUAAAGCUCUAUCAGCAGGGAAGAAAAUGACAGUACCUGACUAAGAAGCCCCGGCUAACUACGUGCCAGCAGCCGCGGUACUACGGGGGAUGCAAGCGUUAUCCGGAUUUAUUGGGUUUAAAGGGUGCGUAGGCUGUGAGGUAAGUCAGCGGUGAAAUGCCCCCGCUCAACGGGGUGAAGUGCCAUUGAUACUGCCUUGCUGGAAUGCGGAUGCCGUGGGAGGAAUGUGUGGUGUAGCGGUGAAAUGCAUAGAUAUCACACAGAACACCGAUUGCGAAGGCAUCUCACGAAGCCGCGAUUGACGCUGAUGCACGAAAGCGUGGGUAUCAAACAGGAUUAGAUACCCGUGUAGUC
RNAcentral lists this ribosomal RNA (441 nucleotides) under uncultured bacterium. Its description in RNAcentral is "partial 16S ribosomal RNA". It matches the Rfam family "Bacterial small subunit ribosomal RNA", at positions 338 to 795 of the family's 1533-position model. The record is from RNAcentral.